This 388-nucleotide ribosomal RNA is filed under the name uncultured bacterium. RNAcentral's name for it is "bacterial SSU rRNA". It matches the Rfam family "Bacterial small subunit ribosomal RNA", at positions 28 to 419 of the family's 1533-position model. The record is from RNAcentral.
GACGAACGCUGGCGGCGUGCUUAACACAUGCAAGUCGAGCGGUAAGGCCCUUUCGGGGGUACACGAGCGGCGAACGGGUGAGUAACACGUGGGUGACCUGCCCUCAGCUCUGGGAUAAGCCUGGGAAACCGGGUCUAAUACCGGAUAUGACUCCAUGACGCAUGUUGUGGGGUGGAAAGCCUUGUGCGGCUGAGGAUGGGCCCGCGGCCUAUCAGCUUGUUGGUGGGGUGAUGGCCUACCAAGGCGACGACGGGUAGCCGGCCUGAGAGGGCGACCGGCCACACUGGGACUGAGACACGGCCCAGACUCCUACGGGAGGCAGCAGUGGGGAAUCUUGCGCAAUGGGCGAAAGCCUGACGCAGCGACGCGCGUGAGGAUGACGCUGUGU